UCAGACGAUGCGUCAUGCAUAUCAAUAAGCGGAGGAAAAGAAACUAACUAAGGAUUCCCUCAGUAACGGCGAGUGAAGCGGGAAGAGCUCAAAUUUGAAAUCUUCAAGGGUUCUACCUUUACGAAUUGUAGUUUAAAGAAGUGUUUUCUGUUAGAGUUUCGGUAAAAGUUCUUUGGAAUAGGACAUCAUAGAGGGUGAGAAUCCCGUAUUUGACCAUUAUUUCCAGCUUUGUGAUACACUUUCAAAGAGUCGGAUUGUUUGGGAAUGCAGUCCAAAAUGGGUGGUAAAUUUCAUCUAAAGCUAAAUAUUGGCGAGAGACCGAUAGCGAACAAGUACCGUGAGGGAAAGAUGAAAAGAACUUUGAAAAGAGAGUUAAACAGUACGUGAAAUAGUCAAAAGGGAAGCGUUUGACACCAGUGUUGUUUUCUCGAAAAUCAAUUAAAAAAGGCAGGAUUUUGUGUUGUAUUGACUUUAUCAGCUUUCUGCACUCUUUUCUUGUCUUUUUUUAAUGCACUUUUCGUUUAACAAGUCAACAUCAAUUUCUUUUGUUGUAAAAGGGUCAUUGGAAGGUGGCUUUCUUUUCGGAGAAAGUGUUUAUAGCCUUUGGCCUCUGCAAUCGGAGAGAUUGAGGUCUGCAGCGUAGAUACCUUCGGGGUUAGAUACAUUUGUGCUAAGUUAUAGCCUUUCAUAGACAACUUGUUGACUAUGAUCAGUCAUGUAGCUUACUCGCUUAUGCUAUUUUACCUACGCUUAGGAUGUUGAUCUACAGAGCGAGAG
RNAcentral lists this ribosomal RNA (777 nucleotides) under uncultured Neocallimastigales. RNAcentral describes it as "partial large subunit ribosomal RNA". It matches the Rfam family "Eukaryotic large subunit ribosomal RNA", at positions 18 to 626 of the family's 3401-position model. Lineage: Eukaryota; Fungi; Neocallimastigomycota; Neocallimastigomycetes; Neocallimastigales. The record is from RNAcentral.